UCUGUGAUCGUAUAAUGCUUAGUGCAUUGCGUUGUGGCCUUAAUAACCCAGGUUCGAAUCCUGGUUACGGCA
Molecule: non-coding RNA, 72 nt
Organism: Stegodyphus mimosarum
Lineage: Eukaryota; Metazoa; Arthropoda; Arachnida; Araneae; Eresidae
Source: Rfam